This 274-nucleotide ribosomal RNA is filed under the name uncultured bacterium. Its description in RNAcentral is "partial 16S ribosomal RNA". It matches the Rfam family "Bacterial small subunit ribosomal RNA", at positions 44 to 334 of the family's 1533-position model. The record is from RNAcentral.
GUGCCUAACACAUGCAAGUCGAACGAGAAAGUCCGCAAGGAUGAGUACAGUGGCGACCGGGUGAGUAACACGUGACUAACCUACCUCUUAGUGGGGGAUAACUCCGGGAAACCGGAGCUAAUACCGCAUAACAUCGCAAGAUCAAAGCCGAAAGGCGCUGGGAGAGGGGGUCGCGGCUGAUUAGCUAGUUGGUAGGGUAACGGCCUACCAAGGCGAAGAUCGGUAUCCGGCCUGAGAGGGCGCACGGACACACUGGAACUGAAACACGGUCCAG